RNAcentral lists this ribosomal RNA (398 nucleotides) under uncultured bacterium. Its description in RNAcentral is "partial 16S ribosomal RNA". It matches the Rfam family "Bacterial small subunit ribosomal RNA", at positions 338 to 733 of the family's 1533-position model. The record is from RNAcentral.
CCUACGGGCGGCAGCAGUGAGGAAUAUUGGUCAAUGGACGAAAGUCUGAACCAGCCAAGUAGCGUGAAGGAUGAAUGUCCUAUGGGUUGUAAACUUCUUUUAUCAAGGAAUAAAACGAGGCACGUGUGCCUGUUUGCAUGUACUUUAUGAAUAAGGAUCGGCUAACUCCGUGCCAGCAGCCGCGGUAAUACGGAGGAUCCGAGCGUUAUCCGGAUUUAUUGGGUUUAAAGGGAGCGUAGAUGGGUUGUUAAGUCAGUUGUUAAAGUUUGGGGCUCAACCGUAAAAUUGCAAUUGAAACUGGCAGUCUUGAGUACAGGUGAGGUAGGCGGAAUGCGUGGUGUAGCGGAGAAAUGCUUAGAUAUCACGAAGAACCCCGAUUGCGAAGGCAGCUUACGAAA